This 343-nucleotide long non-coding RNA is filed under the name Bos taurus (domestic cattle). RNAcentral describes it as "long non-coding RNA NONBTAT018977". Lineage: Eukaryota; Metazoa; Chordata; Mammalia; Artiodactyla; Bovidae. The record is from RNAcentral.
ACUGUACAGGUGUCUAUUGUGGGGGUGUGGGGGCAUAUGGACUCCAACAAGGUAGAAACGCAUCACUCCACCUAUUUCCAUUAUAAGCUGGAAGAUGUAUUCUUAGGGAAAUGCCAAAACAGCAUAGGGUAAAGCUUUCCCACUGAGGAAAAAGGAUAUCAGCCUUAGUCUGAUAAAAAUUCAAGCAUAUGAAAACAAAAAAGGCAACUUUAUUUUUCUUUUGUGGCAUUCUAAACCACCAGAAUUUCUUUCAAGCCUGAAGAUUCCAUGACUCCACAUUAAUGACUCUUAAUAAUUUUGUACCCCUCCUCUCUCUUCUGCCCUCCAAAGUUGGUUAAUUCCA